AGGGAAGCUUCACACAACACAAAAACACUCUCUCUCCUUUCUUGUUGGCCGGCCGAACCCCUCAAGGAAGAAGGGAAGAAAAAGCUUCACUUCAUCUUGCUUCAUCUUGCUCCAUUUCACUUCCAAACUUGCACCCAACUUCAAAAUCUCUUGGAGAUCAACUUUAGCUUGAAGGAAGACAUCAUCUAGUGGAGUUUCUUGGAGGUUUUGUGGUGAAAAUUUCUGGUUUCUACAAGCGUUAGAGGUAAACCCAUCAACUCUUCUAAUCUUUCCAUUUAAUCGAAGUUUAGUGGUUGGAUUUGCAUGGGUUUGAAACCCUAAGCAUGAAAUAGGCUAGCGGACUUGAGGUGUUUCAUUUCUUAUUUUAAACUCUAGGCUAGCAGACUUGAUGAUACCUUUAGGUAGCUGCCUUGAGGUGUAAUUAGUUGAUUGUGGUUGUUUAUGUGUUAUUUGAGAUGAAUACGGUUAGAAAGUGAAGGAAAAAUCGAACGAAGAAUGGAAGUGCAAGCUGGCCGAAUCUGUCCUGUGGUUAACUUGCUUGUAUUUCAAAUUUUUGUUGGCUGUUUGGCUGUGAAAUUGAGGGAUAUAUGUUUUAUAUUAUGUGUACAAAGUGCCUUGCGAAAAUCAUUUCAAUUGGUUGCUCAAAACUAGAGUUUUUGAAAAAGAAAGAAAUCUGGAAAUGGUAAUUUAGGCAGCCGAACAGUAACUCUUCAUUCGAACAUAACUUGCUGUACAAAAUUUGAAAUCGAGUGCCGUUAGUGGCAAUAAAAACUAGACAUCCAUAGCUUUCUAACGGCAUAAAAAUCAUUUGCUAGUUCGAACUGAGUGAACCGUAGUGAUUCAGCAAAUUUGACUAUCCUGUUCUAAUUGUCUGUCCGAGAGGAAUGGAGAAGCUGCAUCUUGUGGCCCUAUUUUCUCUUACUUGUGGACUGAUUUUGAAAAUUUUUUCUUCUGAUGAAAUGUAGAAUUUUGAACCUAGUUCCAACGCCAGUAACUAUUCCCAAUUUGAACUUGUAUUGAGUGAGAUGUGAUCUGAUUUCAAAAGUGCAACAAAGCUGGGAAACUGGACAGUUUUUCCCUUCUUGCUAGCCGAUUGGUUAGGUUUGUUUUGGGAUGUUUUAUUUCAAAAAUUUUGAUGUCAAUUGGAACCCUGGUUUCAAAAAUGGAUCGAAUUGGGACUGAUUUCAUUGUGCAAAACGUUUGGAAAAGAAAGAAAAGUAAGAGGGCAGAAUUGCCUUGAAACAUUUUUCAAACUUUGGUAGUCUUGUUAACUGCCUUCCCACGUGAGUUUUUGCGUGAAAUUUAAUAUAGGGGUAGUCCACUUAUGGAAGUUUAAGUGUACCAAUUUGGGUGGAAUUUCAAUACCAUUUCAAUACCCAAAUAACGCCCCAAAGAUGGCUCUUCAAAUCUGGAAAUUCACUGUUCACGUCGUGAAAAUCAACCGACUUUGAACUGUUGUAUCUUGUUGCUCAAAACUCCGAAUUUAGUUCCGUUUGUUAUGUUUGAAACCUUGUUUGGAACUUUUAUUGUGUUAUGAAUUUCAAAGGCUGAUUCAUUUUCUAUGAAUUUUGCCGAAUUUUCAAAUAUCGCCGAAAAACAAGACUGGUUCUGUCUUGCUUGUUUAAAUCAGCAACUUUGAGCUAAAAAAUGAAUGCUUACUGUUUGGAACCAUGUAAAAGUGUCUUCUAGGAACUUUGAUCUUAAAGUGUCUUCAAGAUCUGAUUUUACCAAAUUUGUCGCGCAAAGCUGAAAUUCUUGAUUUCUUAGAAAAUGAACUUUUAAGAACUCCCUCAUUUGCAAUUUGUUGAUCUUGAUCCCUAUCUUUUGAUGUUUACAAAACAAAUAAAUGAUACUAAUAUUUCUUCAAGAUAUACUUUCAGUUUUGAAGUUGUUUGAUUCCAUGAACAAGUGCAAUUGAAAGGGGACUAAGUAUGCUGAAGCUGUCGGACGCUCAAAUAGUCAGGAUCGGACGUCCGAAAGGAUGAAGAACAUCAAGAAGGAAACUCUGUCGGACGCUCGUAAGAAAGCAUCGGACGUCCUGAAGGAUCGGACGCAUGCUUCGGACGCACAUCAAUCUCAUCGGACGUCCUAAAAAUUCCACGAAGAUUUGAUAACUCUCUGGACGACGUUCGGACACAGAAGCUCGGACGAUAAAAUCCCAUCGGACGUCCGAACAACAACUUGACUGAUUUUCGGACGAUGGGAUCGGACGAUGACUAAGCCGUCGGACGUCCGACAGCCCCAACGGCUAGCUGACUCUUCAUCUGCCUUCUAUCCGUUGGAAGUAUUAAUGAAGCCCAUUUUUGGUUCCCUUUAAAUACAAACGAUUCUGAAUCAGACAAGAACUUUUGCACACUUUGUUUACAAGAUCUCAAGAGAUAUUUUAGUUAGAAAAUAGUCUCCAAAGCUAGAUUUGUAGUCUUAGUGGUGUGAGGUUCAUUGUAAGCUUUUCAUUUGUGAGUGAAUCUUUCAUGAGUGUAGCUCUGUGAGGGUUGUCCUGAGGGAUAGUAAAACGUCCUGGCUUGACCGAGUGGAGUUCGGGGCAAGGAGGAGGUGAACCUUCCUUUGUACACAAGAGUG
RNAcentral lists this long non-coding RNA (2580 nucleotides) under Coffea arabica (coffee). Its description in RNAcentral is "long non-coding RNA (CARA_LNC005442)". Lineage: Eukaryota; Viridiplantae; Streptophyta; Magnoliopsida; Gentianales; Rubiaceae. The record is from RNAcentral.